GGCAAAACGUCCGCCCGGGCCCGAGGCGGGCGGAGGCAGCUGUGGUUACGUGCGGGGGGCCGGUGACGCAGUCGCGGGGCGCUGGGACGCGGCUUGCGGAGCCGGCCGGCGAGCGCAGGCCCCAGGCUCGGGCGCGGCGGCGGGACAGCACCUACCUUCCCGGCUUCGGGUCCGGGAGUGCGGGGCGCGGAGCCGCCGGAGCGCUGCCUCCCUCCUUCCUCCUCCCCUCGCCCCCGCCCCGCGGCGCGACACACAAUACUCGCCGGAAGCGGAAGCCGCGCCGAGGCUCGUGUCAGUGGAAGCUGGGGUGUCGGCGGGCGGCCGCGGCCGGGUCUAGCGGUGCCUGCGGAAGAAGGAGGAGGAGGGCUGGCGAUGAGAAGCAGCAGGAGGAAUCAAGGGCAAGAAGGGACCCAGAGGGGCAGGUGGCUGAGAUGCUGGCGUCCAGGUGACCCGAGGAAUCCUCUGGAGAUACAGGCCCGCGCAUGCGCGUGCUCGAGCGCUGAAGCCCAUUGCCCGCAGGGCGCUGGACUGGCGCCCCGGCCGGCGAGGCUGUCUAGUCCAGGCUCCAGGCCCCGGCUCUGGCCAGGCGCCGCCGCCUCCCGGUGCAGCUGAAAGUCGACGAAGAGGGCGGGGCGGGGCGGCUUGUGGACUUCCACACUUUUCCUCUCUUCGGGCCAGUCCGGGGAGAGGGUGGCUAGCUGUGGCGGCGGCCAAUUACGUGGCGGACCUGCGGGGCUAAGCUGGCACGUCACUUCCGACUAGUGGAGUUUUUAGCCUUUUAACAUUCAAGGAUUAGAGCUCCCUCUUUGCCCACUAGCAGGGCAUUAGCUGGUGCUGAAGACAGUGGCUGCUUGGCGAGCCUGGAUCUCCAAGUGACUCCAAGUGACCCCCUCAGCAACUCCUGAUGAACAGGACUGAAGCCAAUAUUAAAGCAAGUCAACCAAAGAUUCUCUGGUGUAGACAAGACAGCAAAAGGACAGACUACCUUGUGGAACCUAGCAUUGUUCUCCUUCUGCAGCACUAAGUAACAUUUGUGCUCCGUUAAGAUCUUUGCAAACCACACACAAGAAUUGCUGGUCAUCCUGCCAAUAGAUGCUGCUCACAGAACCAAAUUUCCUGUGCUGAAUUGUCACUCAUGGGCUUGAGAGUAGGAGACUGGAGACCAAGGUGGCUAGAAUCCAGUUGGGCCUGAUGUCUCCCUGUUGAAAGGGCUCCUUGUGGAAUAAACAGCACAUGGCUCCCGUGGUGGAUCUGAUAGUGGCACAGCACCAAGUGAUGCAGGCCUGCCAGGGGCCACAGACACAGAAGAUGCUCCCAGGGUCCCCCGUGUACUCCAGACACACUGCAGGCCACCUCUCCCAGCAGGUUGCCAGUCAUGGGCCCCAUCAUCAUGACUUCUGUCCAAGGUGUGCUCGGAAAUCUCUUCCUUAACUGUGACUUUCUGACAGGUGGAGGAUGUGGUCAGGAGUGGGAAAAGGAUUCGAGACGGGAAGAGGGAGGGGUUCAGGAUGAAGAGAGAUAAUCUGUGCCACAGAUGCUGGCCCUGCAGUUAGCUCCCACCUAGUCCGUGCACACACAUUCUAAUCCCCUCGCAUUCCUCUACAUGCUGCAGCCAGAGAGGCCUUUCUCAAAGUGGAAGUCGCAUCCUCACUUCUCUGGUUACAGUGCUGGGCCAUGGGUAACUUACAAGGCUUAGCAGGAACUGUCUGCGCACUCCCCCUUCCUGCCCACUGCCUUGUUUCCCUCCAGUUGCGAGAGCAAACAUUGAUUGAGCAUUAACUAUGUGCCAGGCUUGUCCUAAGUCCUUUGCAUGUAUUCACUCAAACAAUCCUCACAACAUUCCUCUCACAUCUCCCAUUUCACAGUGAGGGUUCUAAAGCACGUAGUGGGUGAGGAACUUGUCCGGGGUCACACAACUAAGUGGGGGUGGAGAAACAUCAAAUCUGAGUGGUCCAGGUGGUGGCCAGAACCCAUCAGCACCUCACUACAGCUGCCUCCAGUUUCUCGCUCUAGGAAAUACUCUUCCCUGUCAACUCCUGUUGUCCUCUGGGCUCAGUUGACAUGUCAUCUCCUUGAGGAGGACAUCCUGAGAUGCUCCCCAACUAGGGUGGGCACCCACUUCCACACUCCAAAUGCCUAUUUGACCUGUGUAUCGCUGCAUCCCCACUGCCUGGCAGAUAGCAGGCCCCUAAUAAAUAUGAUUUGAGCAAAUAAAUAUAGUUCUUCAAAAAAUAGGGAGGACUUCUUGUUUCAGGUAAUGGUAGGCUAGGACAUUUGGACCAACCCUCCUGCAGAAAAUAGCCAUUUAUUUUGAUGCAAUAUAUCUGGCUAUGACUAGAGAUUUCAAAUAUUUGGAGGGCUAUUAUGUGAAGAAUUAAACUUACUCUUUGUGACAUAGAGGUCAGAAAUUGGUCAUUUCCAUAGAGUAUGAGAGACACAGAAUUGUGCUCAUCAUAAGUAUCUUUUUUAAAAAUUAGACUUAAUGAAAUGGGCUGCCUUGGUAGGUGGUGAGUUCUCUGUCACGAAAGAGAUUCAGCCACUUGCUCUGAGAAAGCAUGGAGAAUAUCAACAUUGUAAGGGUCGACCACCUCAUCUCUGAGGCCCCCUCCUCACUUAGGUUGCCAUUGCAGGUGGAACACUGGGCUGAGUGUCAAAGAACCUGGGUUCCACAAGCUGUGCAACCAUGGCUGGUUGUUUUGGAUCUCAUUCCUAAUAUCUGUUAGUUAAGCUGACCCGUCGAUACUGACCCACUUCACAGAGUUAUGAAGGGAUUAAAUUAGGUAUUACAUAUAAAUCUUUGUUUUGUUUCCUUUUUGUUGUUUUUUUGUUUUGCUUUUUUCUUUGCAUUAUGGAAAUCCCAAGUCAACUUUUUCCAUUCUUUUAUUUUUUUAAAAAUUGACAUCAUCAUUAUAACAACAAAAUAAUUUUUAAAAUGGAAAAAAAAAAAAAAACUCACCUGCAACCCCACAAUCUAAUACAUUAAUCAUACUUUUUUCCCUUUAUUCUCCUUUAUUGUGACCAAGGAUGACUUUGGGCAUUGCUGUGAGGAACUAUUUCGUUUAACACCCUACUACCUGAACAUGAUGCGUACUCAGCCUUUCACCACCCCCCAAGUAGCUACACAUGAUAUGAUAAUAGUAUUGGUGGUGGUUUUAGAGAGUUGGAGAGAAAACUGAAGUUGGAUUUGGGUAAAAGAAAAAAGAGUGGGAAUUAUUUUUUCUCCAUUCUAAAGCCCAUAGAGCAAUGUUAAUUGUUCCCACCCCUCUGCUAUUCUGUUUCCUCAGGUACUGUGUGCAGAAAUGUGAUUGAGAUUCAAGUCAGGGCCUCUCUGCCCUUUUCCCUCCAGAAACAAAACCAAGAUAAUUUAUCCUGAACACGGUGAAAAAAGGAAGGGAGGGAGGAGAAAAAGUCCGGGUCUCACCUGGGAUUCUCUGUCUCCUGCAACAUGAAGGAUUUAGCCUGGGAGGAGGUGGUGAGAACUCUGGGAGAGAAAAAAGAAGGAAAGAAUAGUUUUACCCAUGCUGAAGUUAAUUUAAACCUUCACCUAGAGAAGCAAAAAAACCCCCACACUUUUCCAUUUUGUGCCUCCCUUCCUAGAGUUUUAGCCAAAGGUUUAGCUAAGUAAUUGGUUUUACCAGGGCACUCACUCUUCCUAUCCCGAGUCUGUUUGACUCCCUCCCCAUCAUCCUCCUCACCUCUUUUCAGGCAGGGUGGGGAUAGCAGCAGGAGGAGAUUUUGGGAGCCUGGCAACUCCUGCAAGGACCGCAGGACAGCCCCUCUGUGGGGAUGCGUGGUGCCCCAUCUGCCGCCCUUCUGAAGAAUGCACUGCCUUCACUUUUUACUGUGUUAGAGUCCAUCCAGACUGUUCUAUCCAAAAAAGAGUUUCUUUUUCCCCCACAGGCAAUCAGGAAAUGAUUCCUUUCCCAACUGCUUCUGUCUAGUGCCUGGGAAUCUUGAGUCAAUCCCUCAGUAAGUCAGUGACUAUAGAAAUCCCUCUCUGAGCCUCCCAGUUCAUGUUGCUUAGGGAACCUGAUAUUUUCAUGAAACCUGCCUACACAUGGGCAGCCCAACAGCAGAACAAAUGGUGGUGACCAAAGUGAACAAAGAAGUAUAGUUGUGCCAGCUUCGUAGUUGCCCAUGUGGACAAGUCAGCAGGAUCAGGACACGAGGAAGAGUAAAUGUGAGACAGUCAAUGUGACUUCUGCGAUAAACAGAUUUUUAAACCCCGAAAUUUUGCAAAAUUUUGGUGAAACCUGAACUUUCUUCGUUGCAUAUACUGGCACUAUCUGUACCAUCAUACAACUGUCUCACAUUAAAGCUAUUUUUCUUGGGCACUGAUGAGCAAGGUUGGUAUGUUUGAGUUCCUCAGAUCAACAAAAACCCAUUUUCCUAUAAGUCUUACAUUUAGUAUUUAAGGAACUAAAACUUAAAUACAUUUUGUGAAAUGGUUGACACUUCACUGAUAAUGAUUUAUUGCUUGGAUUAAUAAAUUUUCCAAAAGUUGUCUUAUUAUGUAGAAUAUGGUUUGCAACCAGCAGAACCAUUAAUCUAUACUGCAAUGAUAUGCACUAUGUAUAAUUGUUUAAAAGCCUCUACUUAAUGAUGUAAAAUGCUCUAUUUAAUUACACAUUUGGGUAAACUGUAUACUAACAUCUGAUGGCAUUUUUCCACUGUUUGUUGCUUUUUUCAAAUACUUUAUUGUACAAAGCUGUUCUUAAUAUUGUUCAAGUUUUUUUUCUUUGAAUUUUGCUAAUGUUUUCCUUGAAUUAUGAGCACUGACAGAAUGUGCUUAGCACUUUUGGCUAUUCACACAGCUUUUGAGCAUGAUUUGCAUCCAAUAUUUACAUUGCUAGCAAUAAUAAGCCAUCUGUGAGUUUUGUCAAAA
This 4885-nucleotide non-coding RNA is filed under the name Pan troglodytes (chimpanzee). Lineage: Eukaryota; Metazoa; Chordata; Mammalia; Primates; Hominidae. The record is from RNAcentral.